Molecule: ribosomal RNA, 327 nt
Filed under: uncultured eukaryote
Lineage: Eukaryota
Description: partial 18S ribosomal RNA
Rfam family: Eukaryotic small subunit ribosomal RNA
Source: RNAcentral
CCCCUAGAUGUUCUGGGCCGCACGCGCGCUACACUGAACAGUUCAACAAGUCUUAACCUUGGCCGAUAGGUCUGGGUAAUCUUUGAACGCUGUUCGUGAUUGGGAUAGACCUUUGCAAUUAUGGGUCUUCAACGAGGAAUGCCUAGUAAGCGCAAGUCAUCAGCUUGCGUUGAUUACGUCCCUGCCCUUUGUACACACCGCCCGUCGCUCCUACCGAUUGAAUGGUCCGGUGAAGCGCUCGGACCGCGGCCUCUUGACGGUUUUCCGUCGAUUGGCUGUGGGAAGUUCGUUAAACCUUAUCAUUUAGAGGAAGGAGAAGUCGUANCA